AGGGUAAUGAUUAAUAGGGAUAGUUGGGGGCAUUAAUAUUUAAUUGUCAGAGGUGAAAUUCUUGGAUUUAUGAAAGAUUAACUUCUGCGAAAGCAUCUGCCAAGGAUGUUUUCAUUAAUCAAGAACGAAAGUUAGGGGAUCGAAGACGAUCAGAUACCGUCGUAGUCUUAACCAUAAACGAUGCCGACCAGCGAUUAGGAGACGUUGAAUACAAAACACCACCAUCUUCAGCAUGGUUGUUUUCAAAAGGAUCUUCGUGGUUCUUUUGGGAACAAUUCAUCCUGGAUGGGUUCGGUGA
This 298-nucleotide ribosomal RNA is filed under the name Acanthamoeba sp. RNAcentral's name for it is "partial small subunit ribosomal RNA". It matches the Rfam family "Eukaryotic small subunit ribosomal RNA", at positions 859 to 1114 of the family's 1831-position model. The record is from RNAcentral. Lineage: Eukaryota; Discosea; Longamoebia; Acanthamoebidae.